Molecule: long non-coding RNA, 1188 nt
Organism: Megalobrama amblycephala (Wuchang bream)
Lineage: Eukaryota; Metazoa; Chordata; Actinopteri; Cypriniformes; Xenocyprididae
Exons: 3
Source: RefSeq, a predicted model, not a curated record
ACAAAUGAAGAUCUUUUUGAUGAAAUCUGAGAGAUGUCUGUCUCUCCAUUGACUGGCUUUGCAACGAUCACUUUGACGCUUGGUUACACAGCACGUUUGAGCUUCUGGAAGAGUAUUCUCAAAGCUAAUGAAGCGAGCAGAAGCAGGAACAGGAAGCGUCUUUAAGAGCUCACAGGAGGCCCUUUGUUCCGGCUCCAGGCCGCGGGGGACCCAGAUUCAGCACAGCGGCCCUUGAGAGACCUCCCAGCAUUCUUCGGCAGGACGACCCCAUCCACACCUCACCUUCAGAGGUUGUCACUGCAUUGUAAGGCCAGGAAUCAGUCUGGUCUUUGUGUCUCGUCUUUUUAUAAAUAUCUACUUCUGACUACCUCUCUCUGGCUAGCAUGGUUUCACACUGACAGUGAUUUGUUUCAAGGAGUUUCAGUGAUUUGAAACAACAUGCGUGACUGAUUUUUUUUCAUACAAAUGAGCAGUGACAUGAUGUAAUGACUACAAAUGGAAGCACAGACCAUGUAGUCCACCUCUUUUUACAUUUUACAAAAAAAAAAAAAAGUACAGAGACUUACUAUAGUGAUCUACAGUGAUGAAAUCGCUGUCAGUAUGAAUAAAACUUAAAGGGAUGGUUUACUGAAAAAAGUGAAUAUUGCCUUAAUUUACUCACUCUGAUGUUGUCCUACAAAAAAAGACCUCUUUGACAUUCACCCUAUGGACCAAAAAAAAAAAAAAAAAAACAUAAUAUCUUUUUGUUUCCAAUAAUAAAGUCAAACAGGAUGGGAAAGACACAAAGGUGAGUAGAUAAUAGAACUCUCAGUUUUGGGUGAACCUUCCCUUUAAUUGUCCACUUUCAAAACAUUAACUCCAUGUCCUAACCAGGCAUGAUGCAAAAAAAAAAAAGUGAUUAAUCACAUCUCUGUUCUUUUUAUUCUAACCGGCCAUAACCACAGAAAGCAAUGAGCUAAAAAACAUAGCUGUAAUAUGGCUGUCACUUUGAAAAAAAAUCCUUGCUAGCAAAAUGCAUGUUAAUCCAUUGACAGUGCUGGGUAGAUUACUUACAAAUUGUAAUCAGUUAUCAAGGUAAUAUAAUCUGACUACUUGUUGAUAACUUUUAGAUUACUUUUGACCUAACACAUUUAUCACAUUGAUUUGAAUAGGAUAAUCUUGUACCAUAUCGAUAUACAAAUAUAAAGA